UACGGAGGGGGCGAGCGUUGCUCGGAAUGACUGGGCGUAAAGGGCGCGUAGGCGGAUGGUACAGUCAGAUGUGAAAUUCCCGGGCUUAACCUGGGGGCUGCAUUUGAUACGUGCGAUCUGGAGUGAGGAAGAGGGUCGUGGAAUUCCCAGUGUAGAGGUGAAAUUCGUAGAUAUUGGGAAGAACACCGGUGGCGAAGGCGGCGACCUGGUCCUUGACUGACGCUGAGGCGCGAAAGCGUGGGGAGCAAACAGG
RNAcentral lists this ribosomal RNA (253 nucleotides) under uncultured bacterium. Its description in RNAcentral is "partial 16S ribosomal RNA". It matches the Rfam family "Bacterial small subunit ribosomal RNA", at positions 524 to 776 of the family's 1533-position model. The record is from RNAcentral.